UGGCGCCUACGGGGCGCAGCAGUGGGGGAUAUUGCACAAUGGGGGAAACCCUGAUGCAGCGACGCCGCGUGGGCGAAGAAGUAUUUCGGUAUGUAAGGCUCUAUCAGCAGGGAAGAAAGAAAUGACGGUACCUGACUAAGAAGCCCCGGCUAACUACGUGCCAGCAGCCGCGGUAAUACGUAGGGGGCAAGCGUUAUCCGGAUUUACUGGGUGUAAAGGGAGCGUAGACGGCGAUGCAAGUCUGAAGUGAAAGCCCGGGGCUCAACCCCGGGACUGCUUUGGAAACUGUAUGGCUGGAGUGCUGG
Molecule: ribosomal RNA, 305 nt
Filed under: uncultured bacterium
Lineage: Bacteria
Description: bacterial SSU rRNA
Rfam family: Bacterial small subunit ribosomal RNA
Source: RNAcentral